CGAAGUUGGAAUUGCUAGUAAUCGUGGAUCAGCAUGCCACGGUGAAUACGUUCCCGGGUCUUGUACACACCGCCCGUCACACCAUGGGAGUCGGUAACACCCGAAGUCAGUAGUCUAACCGCAAGGAGGACGCUGCCGAAGGUGGGAUUGACGACUGGGUGAAGUCGUAACAAGGUAGC
RNAcentral lists this ribosomal RNA (179 nucleotides) under uncultured bacterium. RNAcentral's name for it is "partial 16S ribosomal RNA". It matches the Rfam family "Bacterial small subunit ribosomal RNA", at positions 1321 to 1500 of the family's 1533-position model. The record is from RNAcentral.